This 459-nucleotide ribosomal RNA is filed under the name uncultured bacterium. RNAcentral's name for it is "partial 16S ribosomal RNA". It matches the Rfam family "Bacterial small subunit ribosomal RNA", at positions 338 to 795 of the family's 1533-position model. The record is from RNAcentral.
CCUACGGGAGGCAGCAGUGAGGAAUAUUGGUCAAUGGGCGCGAGCCUGAACCAGCCAAGUCGCGUGAGGGAAGACGGUCCUAUGGAUUGUAAACCUCUUUUGUCGGGGAGCAAAAGACGCCACGCGUGGCGUUCCGAGAGUACCCGAAGAAAAAGCAUCGGCUAACUCCGUGCCAGCAGCCGCGGUAAUACGGAGGAUGCGAGCGUUAUCCGGAUUUAUUGGGUUUAAAGGGUGCGCAGGCGGAAGAGUAAGUCAGCGGUAAAAGUGAGAGGCUCAACCUCUUCGAGCCGUUGAAACUGGUUUUCUUGAGUGAGUGAGAAGUAUGCGGAAUGCGUGGUGUAGCGGUGAAAUGCAUAGAUAUCACGCAGAACUCCGAUUGCGAAGGCAGCAUACCGGCGCUCAACUGACGCUCAUGCACGAAAGUGUGGGUAUCGAACAGGAUUAGAUACCCUUGUAGUC